CCUUAGCUCAGUUGGUUAGAGCAUCCGGCUCAUAACCGGACGGUCAUAGGUUCGAGUCCUAUAGGGUCC
Molecule: transfer RNA, 69 nt
Filed under: human gut metagenome
Also listed under: 2 other names
Rfam family: tRNA
About the family: Transfer RNA (tRNA) molecules are approximately 80 nucleotides in length.
Source: RNAcentral